Molecule: ribosomal RNA, 254 nt
Filed under: uncultured bacterium
Lineage: Bacteria
Description: partial 16S ribosomal RNA
Rfam family: Bacterial small subunit ribosomal RNA
Source: RNAcentral
UACGGGGGGAGCAAGCGUUGUUCGGAUUUACUGGGCGUAAAGGGCGCGUAGGCGGCCAGUGCAAGUCAGUUGUGAAAUCUCCGAGCUUAACUCGGAAAGGUCAACUGAUACUGCUCGGCUAGAGUGCGGAAGGGGCAACUGGAAUUCUUGGUGUAGCGGUGAAAUGCGUAGAUAUCGCUUGGAACGCCGAAGGUGAAAACAGGUUGCUGGGGUUGUGCCGACGCUGAGACACGAAAGCCAGGGGAGCAAACGGG